GACGAACGCUGGCGGCGUGCUUAACACAUGCAAGUCGAACGGUGAAGCGAGUGCUUGCACUCGUGGAUCAGUGGCGAACGGGUGAGUAACGCGUGAGUAACCUGCCCAUCACUCUGGGAUAAGCACUGGAAACGGUGUCUAAUACUGGAUACGACCAACCCUUGCAUGGGGUGUUGGUGGAAAGAUUUAUCGGUGAUGGAUGGACUCGCGGCCUAUCAGCUUGUUGGCGGGGUAAUGGCCCACCAAGGCGACGACGGGUAGCCGGCCUGAGAGGGUGACCGGCCACACUGGGACUGAGACACGGCCCAGACUCCUACGGGAGGCAGCAGUGGGGAAUAUUGCACAAUGGGCGAAAGCCUGAUGCAGCGACGCCGCGUGAGGGAUGACGGCCUUCGGGUUGUAAACCUCUUUCAGCAGGGAAGAAGCGAAAGUGACGGUACCUGCAGAAGAAGCACCGGCUAACUACG
Molecule: ribosomal RNA, 467 nt
Filed under: uncultured bacterium
Lineage: Bacteria
Description: partial 16S ribosomal RNA
Rfam family: Bacterial small subunit ribosomal RNA
Source: RNAcentral